This 267-nucleotide long non-coding RNA is filed under the name Jatropha curcas. Its description in RNAcentral is "long non-coding RNA (JCUR_LNC002379)". Lineage: Eukaryota; Viridiplantae; Streptophyta; Magnoliopsida; Malpighiales; Euphorbiaceae. The record is from RNAcentral.
UUUAUUUUACUUUCUUCCUACUUUCCAAACAUAGCUUAACAUUAAAUCGAGGGACCUUUUAUCAAUACCGAGAUCAAGCAACAACCACCUGAACCAAACCAAAUGGAAACAUUAAUGAUCAAUUCAAGUUUUGAUAGGACUCUCUUCAUAUGCUUAAUCAUUCGUUAAUGGAACCGAAACCUCUGUAGCCGCUACUUAAGGCAGAGAAGCCUCAAGCCUGUACCUUUCAUGGAUGGGAUUGGAAAUGACAAGACACAGACAAGUCCA